UACGUAGGGACCAAGCGUUGUUCGGAUUUACUGGGCGUAAAGAGCGCGCAGGCGGUCGUUUAAGUCGAGUGUGAAAGCCCCCGGCUCAACCCGGAAAAUGCCUUGAAAACUAUCCGGCUAGAGGGUUGGAGGGGAGACUGGAAUUCUCGGUGUAGCAGUGAAAUGCGUAGAUCUCGAGAGGAACACCAGUGGCGAAGGCGGGUCUCUGGACAACACCUGACGCUGAGGCACGAAAGCCAGGGGAGCAAACGGG
RNAcentral lists this ribosomal RNA (253 nucleotides) under uncultured bacterium. RNAcentral describes it as "partial 16S ribosomal RNA". It matches the Rfam family "Bacterial small subunit ribosomal RNA", at positions 524 to 776 of the family's 1533-position model. The record is from RNAcentral.